RNAcentral lists this transfer RNA (78 nucleotides) under Penicillium nalgiovense. RNAcentral's name for it is "tRNA-Val". It matches the Rfam family "tRNA". Rfam says of the family: Transfer RNA (tRNA) molecules are approximately 80 nucleotides in length. The record is from RNAcentral. Lineage: Eukaryota; Fungi; Ascomycota; Eurotiomycetes; Eurotiales; Aspergillaceae.
CGCUAGUCGUGUGGCCUAAUGGUCAUGGCGUCUCGCUCACACCGAGAAGGUUCCCGGUUCGAUCCCGGGCACGACUAU